RNAcentral lists this ribosomal RNA (120 nucleotides) under uncultured bacterium. RNAcentral describes it as "partial 16S ribosomal RNA". It matches the Rfam family "Bacterial small subunit ribosomal RNA", at positions 29 to 141 of the family's 1533-position model. The record is from RNAcentral.
AGUGAACGCUGGCGGUAGGCCUAACACAUGCAAGUCGAACGGCAGCACGAGAGAGCUUGCUCUCUUGGUGGCGAGUGGCGGACGGGUGAGGAAUACAUCGGAAUCUACCCUGUCGUGGGG